Molecule: ribosomal RNA, 499 nt
Filed under: uncultured bacterium
Lineage: Bacteria
Description: partial 16S ribosomal RNA
Rfam family: Bacterial small subunit ribosomal RNA
Source: RNAcentral
GACGAACGCUGGCGGCGUGCUUAACACAUGCCAGUCGAACGGGCCCGCUCUCUUUUUUGGGGGUGGGUUGAGUGGCGAACGGGUGAGUAUCACGUGAGUAACCUGCCCCCUGCUCCUGGAUAACUGCUUGAAAGGGCGGCUAAUACGGGGUGUGCCGGCUGGUCCGCAUGGGCCUGGUCGGGAUAGUUUCAUCUUCGGGUGUUUCGGUGGGGGAUGGGCUCGCGGCCUAUCAGCUUGUUGGUGGGGUGAUGGCCCACCAAGGCGGUGACGGGUAGCCGGCCUGAGAGGGUGGGCGGCCACACUGGGACUGAGACACGGCCCAGACUCCUGCGGGAGGCAGCAGUGGGGGGUAUUGCACAAUGGGCGGAAGCCUGAUGCAGCGACGUCGCGUGAGGGAUGGAGGCCUUCGGGUUGUGAACCUCUUUCUCCGGUGGUGAAGGCCCUGUCCGUUGCGGCGGGGUAGACGGUAGCCGGGUAUGAAGCGCUGGCUAACUACGUG